Molecule: microRNA precursor, 102 nt
Filed under: Caenorhabditis japonica
Lineage: Eukaryota; Metazoa; Nematoda; Chromadorea; Rhabditida; Rhabditidae
Description: pre miRNA CJA48859
Rfam family: mir-77 microRNA precursor family
Source: RNAcentral
GCAGUCUGCGCAUUUUCAGUUUGGAUGACUGUGCUCUGAAGAAAUACUGAUGAUCGUCCGUAGCAUUUCAUCAGGCCAUAGUUGUCCAAACUGAGAGUUGUG